Molecule: long non-coding RNA, 6659 nt
Organism: Betta splendens (Siamese fighting fish)
Lineage: Eukaryota; Metazoa; Chordata; Actinopteri; Anabantiformes; Osphronemidae
Exons: 3
Source: RefSeq, a predicted model, not a curated record
CCCUGCCGAAGUCGAACAGGUAGAAUAAUAGCUUUCCACACGUCACUUUGACUAAUUGCCACUUAUUCAUUCAUUAUCUUUUGUCUCUGUGUUUGAGAGAUUUCAUAAUGAAGCGUCCAGCAGUGCUAUUAAAGAGCAGUAAUGUGUAAAAGUCUGAGAGGAGUGAACCCUGAAGGAUGGAAGGUUGAGUCACCGUUGACUUUUCCCACUUAUUAAUGUACCAGCGCGUAACUCAUAACUUUAGACUUGAAAUCAGACCGACUCGACAGCGACCUCUAGUAAAAGCAAACUAAUACAAAUCCCAAAGUUAAGUAAGUUUUAGGUGGAGACGGCGAGUUCUUAACGAAGGCCCCCUCCCACCGCGUCGCUAUCGUCCUCUCCCAGGAAACAACGGGCCGUUUAUCGCCCGCCCCCAGAGGAAGCGGCCCGCUGAGGGGCAGCCUGCUGUGGAGGCGCUGGAGGCACCUUCCCUGACAUGGUAUCGCCUCCUCUCAGGCUGCCUGCAGCGCGUUCAAGGCUCCUUCUCAGGAAACAAAUCACUGACUCGAUUUGAACCAAAAACCUGGUAAAAAGAGGGAAAAAACAAAAUGGGAAGAAGAUCAAUGUGAUCAAAAUGUCCGUCAAACAGCCUUUUGUGUCCUGCAAAGAGUUUCUCUUUUUUGUUUUUUUUUGUCCAAGGAUUUGCAAGAAGUGACGUUUUUUUUGUUUCGAUAGGUGAAAAAUAAGGAAGGGGAACAAUCAGGCGAAGAAUGCAGUGACACCAGAAAAUGCUUUGGACAUUGAUUUUUGCUUUUGUGCACUGAAAGCAAGAGCUUAUUGUGGGGAAGUAGAGAGGGAGCGAGAGAGAGAGAGAGAGAGAGAGAGAGAGAGAGGUUAUGUCCUGAUUGGCAACUUAUUCAAUACAAUAACUGGUAUUUUUGCGUUGCCUUGAUUGAGAGGAUGAGAAGUGCUGGGUCGCCCUCCAAACACGUAGCCUUCGCAUACUUCACCUUAUUACGACGGAAGGAACAUUUUGGCUGUUCUUUAAUCUGUGGGUGGUGCUGCACCAUAAAACGGGCUCAAGCAGAGCUCAUGGUCUUGGAUAACAGCCUCGCCGUGAGGAGCAGCGUUCACGCCUGUCGUCCCAGGCCGUCGGCUCCAGCAUGUUUGUACAGUAGCAACGCUGCACUGCUGUGGAGGUCUUCACCUCUCUGCGAGUCUAAACCUUCACUGGACCCACUCCUGUGUAUUAACGAUACUGUAAGUCUUGGGCUGGUUCUGGUUCUGUUGCAUGCAGGUGGGGGCUAUUUUCUUCAUUUAUUUCUCAGCCAACAUGAACUUGAGCUACUGUGCCUCCCGUUAGCAGGCCAGAGGUGUCGCUCCUUCCUCGCGGUCCUCUGUUAGGAUUAAUCAUUUUUGAAUGAGCUUAGGAAACAAGCUGAGUUGCUGCUGCCUCUUAAUCAUCCCAGCGGUGCUAGUGGUGAAUUGCGGUGUGGGCGAACAAAGAUGACACAGUAUUUGUGCCGACCACUUCUGUCUGUCUUUGCUGUUUCACACUGGAACAUUUGCCUCAUAGGAAACACACUAUGUGCUCCCUCAAAGACCGUGUGGUUUUUCUCCGUCUCCAUUAAUUACAGAUGAAUGUUUAUUUUGUCUCCUCUGUAAUAACUUCCUGUGUGCUCAGGUAUUUUAAUCUCUUCUUAGAUAAGCGGUUCGUCACAUUUAACAUUCGGCAACUCUGCCACGACAAGCAGCGCUCCGACGAAUUAAGAGCAGGAAGAAGACUUUUAACGAAGACAGACUCUUCACUGCAGAGCGGUGAACUCUGUUUAUCAUCAUAAAUCAACUUUUAAUGGUUUGCAGCGCAAAAAACAUGUCACUUUGAGUAGAAUCUGUUUUUAGAAGCUAAGACGGGCAGUUCUAGAAGCACUGUGGUAAUUGACGUUGAACUCUCGAUAUGCAACAUGCGUUUGAGCGAGUUUGUUGCCAGACGUAGUGAUCGCCGUCAGGGAGAAACUUACAUCAGUGUAAUUUGUGUUUUGUAACAAAAAUACAGCAGCAGUGAUUUACUGUAAUGUGUGUAGCAUCUACCAGACGCAGGCAGCUCCCGCACAGGAUCUUUGUGCUUGGAGGCAGAUUCACUCCUAUACAUUGUGUUGUGACCCCUUCACAGUGCAGCUCGUUUUUCCAACUCUAAAACUAGCUCAGUAUUGAACCAGGUUAACAUUUCUAACAGUCUACUCAGCCAUUAUGAAAUGAAAGGAUGAGCCUCCAGCAUCCUGCUCCUUUGUCGUGAGCUCCCACUCUCGUUCUUUGGGAUGCGGUUUUGUCUUCGUCUAAAUAUUCCCAUUUAUAUGCAGGUGAGGGAGCAGGUGUAUGUCGGCCUAUUAUGCCUUUGAUUCCCAUUUCGUAAACAGCGCGUCAGAGAUGAUGGUGGAGAUGGAGAGCAAUCAGAUUUGAUAAUUAUAUCAGCUCUCCUCUGGAACACAACACUGAUAUUAGAGAUUCUGCUAAUGCAUCUUUCAGUUAAAUUUAGAAUUAAAAAGCUGCAUUAUUCAUGUCAGGGGUUGGAUAAUGUGCGAUUGGCACAGAACCUGGGUGGAAAAACUCACGGCUUGAUUCAAGGCUUGAUAGGAAGCAUGCGCCUGAGCUGAAGUGGAUUUGACACACACCGAGAUAUUUUAUUAAGUCUGUCUUGGCUGUGAUUGUUACUAGAUAGUGACGAACCUAAACUAAAUAUUUAUUGUACAGAUAUACAGUAAGUGUAAACAUUUAAAAAAUCUGUAACAAAGAGCAGCGGCGACCAUCCAAGGGUUGGAUGCAACUCAUCAAUACAAAAAAAGAGGCUGCUGUCCAAUAUUUUUUUUCAUUAAUGAUAAAAACAGAUAAAAAAUUAUAACAACUAAGAAACACUACAACAUUUACUGCCACUGAGCUCCAAAUUCAGUCUGUGUUGACCAGUUAACCAGUUAAAACACCUUGAUGGUCCAAUGACAUUAUUGUAAGGAAGUCACCUACAGUUGGUGGUUGAAACAGCCGGUAAUGCAUUGCUACUGUACAUGUAGCACCGCAAGCUGGGACCUGUCUCCCUGAGCUCCCACUAAUAAAUGCCAUUUCUGCAGAACGAGCGGCAGAACACGCUGCUGUUAAAUCUACAGCCACAUGUGUAUGGUCACAUGCGGCUGUAUCCUGUUCACCCAGAUUAAAACAUGAUCAGUGUUCAUUUGUUUUGACUUUAUGACACACAGGUUGAUUCAAAUGUCAAAAAGGUCGACAGAUCUUGAUAUUCUCUAUAGUACAUUAGUUUAAUGUGUCCAUUCCACUGUUCUGUUUUCAGUGCUUUUUUAUUAGACUGUCAUAUUCAAAUACUGUGAUAUGAUGCAAAUGUGAUCAUGAUCAUGUGGCCAUUUUAUGCAAAACUGUGUUCACCUCUGCAUGUGUUCAUGAGUGAGUUAUUUGCUUUGUGAUAUUUAUUGAUCAAGUACUGUAAUAAUUGGAUUCUAAUUAAGGGUGUGUCAACACACUGCAGCAUAUUCCUCUCAAAAUUUUAACAUCUGUUUCGAAGAUGUGCAUCUGGGAGUAAAACGAAAUCCCUUAAAUAAAGGCAAGUAGUGGUGGCUGUGGCCCAAAUGGACUGAUUUCGUUUCUGUGGAACUGUGUUUACAGGUCCAGCUGAUAGCAGUGAUGCUGGGACUUCAGCCAGUAAAUGUUACGCUUUGCCGACAUGAACAAAUAAUAGUCACAACCUUCAGAGGGUCAAAAGGUUAUUUAUUUGUCAAGAGGUCAGGAGAAAAAAGGAAGACGGAGCUGGUUUCACGAGGGAAUAUUCAGCUAAAUGGUCUGCUGAAUAUUCAGCAAUUACACUAUUCACUUAAAGAUUUGUACUCUGUGUCCUAAAAUGUAAAAAAAAGAAGCUUUUAUGACUUCUUGUGAAGCAUCCAAUGCAUGCUGGAGCAAGACACAUAUAAAAUGUAUAUAAAUACAAAAUUAAACCUUUUUCACAGACUGUUAACUGGUUCCACUAGAGCUCGGAGGAGCUUUAACAGCACAGAGGCCAGUUUCUGGAAAAAAUGCUGUAUCUCAGCGUUGUCUGAAACUGUGCCACCCUUGGAUUUUGGGCGUUUUCUCCAUAAAUAAGUCACACCUGUUCUUUGCUGCCUCACUUCAUCACUCCAAAAAAACUCUAUAGCUUCAGACCGUACAGCCUGUGGUCAAAUGACUGCAUACCAGCGAGGAAAGAAGGCGGGCGAUCCUCACUGACGCAGCCUCGGGUGUUUCGGUUGCAGAUGUCGGCUUCGCUGCCAGCUCCCUGAAGUCGGGCCCGUUUUCACGCGCCGUGGAACGUGAGUGAAGAUGGAACUCUACUUCUGAAGUGCAUCAAAAAGUCCUUUUGAUGCAAAACUUUGGCAUUAGCGGCAUUAGGGCCCGACGCUUACGGCUGCAUUUUCAUUAAGCGGCGCGCGGCGCUGCUCAGAGCGAGUCGGGCCGAGCCGAGCCGCAAGGUCGCGCUGUGUUUAACGUGAAGUGGCAGGCGGCGUGAUGAAACAGCUCCUCAUUGUUAACAACACAUGACUCGGGGGCCGUGAAACAACGGUGUCCCUCUGUCACGUCCUCCGUCCUCCAGCCCGAAUGGGGGAGCGUGUGCAGAGGCUGGUGCUCUUCUGCAGCACAGUCAGUCGCGCGCCGCUCGCCCCAAAGUCCGGGUUUCGCUCAGGAGCAGAACUGAGAUGUCCCGCGGCCGCUCUGUCCUCAAACUGCAAAGACCUGCUUCUUGUUUUAACUGUCUUUUAUCACCACUGGGCCCUAAACGCCUCGUAUAAGUUGAAGUUCAACAGUGCAGGUUUGGUUAGUAUUUACAUCUCUUAUCAGUCAGGAACACGCUGCAGAUAAGACAAACCACUACUUAGGUCAAAGUGAUAUUACAGAUGUUCGGUUACAACAAGCACAGGUCACAGUCCAGGCAGAUGUCAGUGUGUGUGCGUCUGCUUUCUCUUCCAUAUACAGACCGUGAAGCACGGCUCAAAAACGCUUAAGGGCGAGGUUUCUGACGAUCGACUGCCUCCGUGAGUGGUUGCGGUGGACGGAGCUACUCGUCACAUCCUUCGGACAUGAGACCAAGUGAAUCAUCAGAGCAGCGCUGGGCACAAACACGCUGGCUCUGAACUGUUAUGACUCCACAUCACUCCGCGUCCCAGUCAUCAAACACACGACGCUGAUAACAUUUAUUUGGCUUCGUCGGCGCCCCGGCGACGUCGGUUCCGUGCAGCGAAGCCUCCAGCUUUGAUCGAAGCUAGACCUGAAUCACAGUGAAGGAAGUCACAAAUCACCCGUCAUCCUGCUGGCGCUUACUGUAACUCCAGUGUCACCACGGGUUCUGACUUUAAGAGCGGUGAGAUUUCUUUUUCUCCAAUGUAAUUUGUGACAUUUGAGGGUUUUUUUUUUUUCUACUGGUGCGCCGACAUUUUGUAACUCACCUAAAUAAUCACAGACUAUUCAGAGGCUGCACAGUUUGUUUCGUGGUGUAGUACGAAAGGCAUUUAAACUUGGCUGAUGAAGACGACUGAAUAUCUUUUAAGGGGGAUGGAUGCACAUUUAGUGUGGAGUUAAAUCCAUCGCUGGAUAAUAAGGAACAGGCCCUGCCUUGUAAAUCUGCUUCAUUAAAUGUGACUAGAGAGCGAGACAUGUGUCCUCUGCAGAGAAGCCAAGCUGCCACAUGCACAGAGUGCAGGUCAUAUUAAAUCUCAGCUAGCUGAUGAGGGAGCAUGUGGGGGAAGAAGUGGACUGCAAGACGUUUUUACGCUCUGAUGAGGCCAAAUUUGAACUUUUGGCCGUCAGACUGAGAAACCCAGCUGCUCCAGCGUACGCGCCCUCGCUCACACUUCAGCCGUAGGAGCUUGAAUCUGUUAGGAGGAGUUCUUGUGGCCGUCCGCUCGUUUCAUCCUACAUUGUGAGUGAUUUAAUUUGCAUUGCAGAGUUCGACACCGCACCCGGACUUAAGGUCCUGUUUUUAGAUUCUGAUGUUAUGAUUUGGUUUCACCCCAUGCCAAGUGUCCUCUCUCUAUGACUCUGAUUGUCCUAAUGAAGACAUGUGUGAGACCAGCGACGGCACACGUUCUCCGCAGGCAGCCAAUGUUCUUUGUGUGCUCCAGGAAUAGAGGGCGUUUUAAUUGCUUCUAUCCAGGGCUGUGACUCGAAAAUGAAAAUCAGUUCUGUCGUGCGGCAUAAAAAAAAAAAAAAAAAUCUCGCAGCUUUUAUAACUAUUCUUCGCACACAGUGGAGGGGAAACGUGUUGUUCUACCACUAAUGGAAGAAUAUUUUUCCCGUUUUAGGGGCAGACGGUGCUUUUUGGAGCCUUGCUCCCAGGGAGCCAUUAAACGUUGCGCUUUUUGCCCAUCUCGCGCCUGAUCCUCUCCGUCUGCGUAAGCGGCGACGAGGUCAGCGCCCGUCUCUGCCGAACCCCCUGCUCGCCGCGUGCAUCCGCGUGGGCAUGGCAACCGGGCAGAGCAGCAAUAAAGGUGAGCGCGGAGGGAAGCGGUGAGUCAUCUUCAUCCGCGACCCGAGCGCCCGGAUCGAUAUAAACAAAGCGGCUGUGGUGGAGUGGAGGAGUGGCCGGAUCCAGGCAACCGGGCCCAAACACGCAGCUGGAGCACGCGUUCUUGGCUGAAGCGUCAUCACUAACA